GACGAACGCUGGCGGCGUGCUUAACACAUGCCAGUCGAACGGAAAGGCCCUGCUUUUGUGGGGUGCUCGAGUGGCGAACGGGUGAGUAACACGUGAGUAACCUGCCCUUGACUUUGGAAUAACUUCAGGAAACUGGGGCUAAUACCGGAUAGGAGCUCCUGCUGCAUGGUGGGGGUUGGAAAGUUUCGGCGGUUGGGGAUGGACUCGCGGCUUAUCAGUUUGUUGGUGGGGUAGUGGCUUACCAAGGCUUUGACGGGUAGCCGGCCUGAGAGGGUGACCGGCCACAUUGGGACUGAGAUACGGCCCAGACUCCUACGGGAGGCAGCAGUGGGGAAUAUUGCACAAUGGGCGGAAGCCUGAUGCAGCAGCGCCGCGUGCGGGAUGACGGCCUUCGGGUUGUAAACCGCUUUCGCCUGUGACGAAGCGUGAGUGACGGUAAUGGGUAAAGAAGCACCGGCUAACUACGUG
Molecule: ribosomal RNA, 468 nt
Filed under: uncultured bacterium
Lineage: Bacteria
Description: partial 16S ribosomal RNA
Rfam family: Bacterial small subunit ribosomal RNA
Source: RNAcentral